CCUACGGGAGGCAGCAGUGGGGAAUCUUGCACAAUGGGGGAAACCCUGAUGCAGCGACGCCGCGUGAGCGAUGAAGCCCUUCGGGGUGUAAAGCUCUUUCGGCAGGAACGAUAAUGACGGUACCUGCAGAAGAAGCUGCGGCUAACUACGUGCCAGCAGCCGCGGUAAUACGUAGGCAGCGAGCGUUGUUCGGAGUUACUGGGCGUAAAGAGUGUGUAGGCGGUUUGCCAAGUUCGGUGUGAAAUCUCCCGGCUUAACUGGGAGGGUGCGCCGAAUACUGGCAGGCUAGAGUGCGGGAGAGGAGAGCGGAAUUCCUGGUGUAGCGGUGAAAUGCGUAGAUAUCAGGAGGAACACCUGCGGUGUAGACGGCUCUCUGGACCGUUUCUGACGCUGAGACGCGAGAGCGUGGGUAGCAAACAGGAUUAGAUACCCUGGUAGUCCACGCCGUAAACGAUGUUCACUAGGUGUUGGGGGUAUUGACCCCCUCAGUGCCGGAGCUAACGCAUUAAGUGAACCGCCUGGGGAGUACGGUCGCAAGACUAAAACUCAAAUGAAUUGACGGUAAAAGUAACCAAGGGGUUUCCCC
RNAcentral lists this ribosomal RNA (586 nucleotides) under uncultured bacterium. RNAcentral's name for it is "bacterial SSU rRNA". It matches the Rfam family "Bacterial small subunit ribosomal RNA", at positions 338 to 939 of the family's 1533-position model. The record is from RNAcentral.